AUUUUAUUUUCAUGUACCAUAGAUUUAUGUGAAAUUAAUUUUUUUAAAGAGCUAAAAGAUGAAAAAAAACUGUGAACAAAAUUCUAAAAUGAGAGAGAAAAAAAAUCAGGACUUUAGGGUAAGAUGUUACUGUAUCUAAACUCAGCUGCCCACUACAGUACAUGUAUGACAUGUUGUAUUGCCAACGUGUAAUUCUAUGGCUACAAUUACAACACAAUGGGUUUGUGGAGUCACUGACAGUAUUCAGUACCUACUCUGGUUGACAAUACUGCAGUUUUACAACAGAAAGCACUUAAACUCUGCCCUUGGCCUUGUGUAAGACCGACUUCCCUUGACAAUCCCCCAGUGCAGGUGGACUAGAUGUGUGAGGGUAUUGGAUGUUGCAGCUGUUGCCCGUCAUGGACACAGGUCAGGGAGACAUUUUCACUUCGAGACACCAGAACAGACACCUACGUCAUGCUCUCUUUACCGUGGCCUCCCGCCCCCGGCAGAAGGGCAAACGAAAGAAAACAGCGACAUGGUAUUCAUAAAAGAACUUUGCUAUAAUUGACAUGGCUUUUAUGGCAUGAGCAAUGAACAAAAGAGAAAAAAAAAAUAAUCAGUGGCAUGAUAGUGGCUGUGAGUGUUAUUCUAAAAGCUUCUGGCAUUUUCUUUUCACCUGUGCGCAUCCAAGAGCACACUUCUGCCCAUGUUCACCGCAGCUUCUCAUCUUAUUCUGGUCUGUGUGUUUGUGUGGUGUGCGCUUACUAGCCUUAACCUCGGUCCCCUUGUUGGCGACUGUGCAGUGUGUUUAAAAGUUAUUGUUGAAUGUUGCUCAUUGUGAAUAGUGCCCAUCGAUUUUAAUAUUGUAUUCCAAAGAACUGGCCAUCCAUCACCACAGGCCCGUGAAUGCUGUUAGGACCAGGCUAUUUCUCUGCUGCUUACCUAGUCAAGACCAAUCAAAUGUAUUUGAUUUUUUUUGUGGGGAAGGGGGGGGGGCAUUGUUUUGAUGUCAAAUACUUAUUUUCAGCAUGGAGAGCUCUUUAUUUUCUUAACAGUGUGUUGAUUGUUCUGGGUUAUUUCGUAAUUAAUCAGUUGCAUAUUUGUGCCUAAUGUUAAGAUGGUGAACAAGAGGAGGUUGAAUGUUUUUUGUUCUUCUUUUGAUUGGACAAUGAUACUAUACGUCCAGUUAAAUUGGGCAUGUUUCAUGUAAAUGUGCCUGGUAAAAUAAUGUUGUUUUUUUUGUCUCUGAUUGAAAUGUACUAAGCCCAUAGUACUAAGGUUUCAGAAAAUAAUACGAUUACUGCCAUCUCUGAAAGAUGAUUUAGAGGACUUUACCUGUCCUACUCAGAGUUAUAACUUAAUUAAGAGGCUACAUCUAUCUUGUUUUUAUAUCUGUUUACUUUUGUGUGUAGAUAUCAGCCAUAGGUCUAGCAUGACUUUGUGUAGCCAAAUUUCUCCAAUGCCACUUGCUUUGCUACCUCCCUGUUAAAUUGAGCAUGUCAUGCUUUCCAUUGAUCAUGUCUGGUCUGCCUGUAUCCCCCCACCCCCUUUACACUUUUUUGUUUUUGUAAGCAUGGAGGCCACAAAGGUCUUCUCUUUCAUCAUCACUGAAUGUUGUGCUUUGAAUGUCAACCCUGUCCUUAAAAUGGCUGCCAUACAUAUCCAAUCGAGUUUUCACGGUUUUCCCUUUUUGUCUUUUGUUUUUGUUUCGAGUUUACGGAGAGAAGGCAAAAAGGGAAUUGACACUAGCUUACAUGCGGUCCAUGAAGUGGAGCAUGUGUCGUCCUCAAUAUUUCUGAACUUUAUAUUGUAGAAAUAGGUUGACACUAUUAUGUAUGUAGGGUCUGUAGGUAUAUAUGAGUUAUUAAGUCUGAAAUAUCUUCUCCACUUUUUUCAUGUGUGGUUGCCCUGUCUCUCUUAAAGAGAUGAUUUCUUGUUGAUAUUCAAUAGGUUUGAACAUGAUUCUUAACAUGUUAAUCGUUAUAUGUUGUUUUGAUAUAGAAUAAUAUAGCAUACACAUUCUCUCUGUACAACUGGGUUGGUACAUUUUUAAGCUCUGUGAAAUGGACCCAAAGCCGACUUGAAUGGUGCCAAAUAACCCAUAAAUUCAGAAUCUAAUGCCACGGCAAUCAAAUUUCCAUCAUCCAACACUAUUUACACUUUGUGUCCAGGUUGGGUUUUCAAAUGGUAUUUCUGUAUAUCGAACAGUUUAAUGUAUGCCCCUCUGGAGGAAGAAAAAAAAAAGACGAAGAUUUGCUCAGUCGAGUUGAGAUAAAAAAAAGCACUUUUUGACACAUUUUUGUAUGCACAUGUUUAAGCUAAAGCAAUGAUGACGCCUCCUGGAACAGAGUCAGAGCAGAACAAUCAAAGCAAUCACAAGUAUUUAUCUUGCCCAUGCCGCCCUUCACAACACAAUCACUUUAGUGAUGAACACUGGGCCUCUCAUUUCCCCUGGACCCUCAUCCCCGCCCAAUUAAACCUUUACCAUGGGUGUGAAACAGUGACCUCUGCUGGUCAUUAGCCUUGUCACAUAAUGGCCCCCAAGCCUUAGAUUGACUGACCAUUACUGGCAACACUGAAUCCCCCGAAACAAAAAUACACAUAUUGUAUAAAUGAGAUCUAGCAGGUGGACUAUAUACACUCUGUCACAAACAUGAUACCUUUCACAUGUUGGUUAUGUGUCUGCGUCUCAGUGUAUCUAUAGUAGGCGAAUGCACAGAAGGCAGUCCAUGGGUUUUAUGAGACACAUUCACCGUUAUUGCUUGCGGAGAGCCUGUAUUUGUCACUCUCUGAAUGGUUUUUUUAUUUCUAUUGGGUUUCCAGUCCGUUCUGUUCCUGUUCCUUACCUUACCUUUUCUUUUUUUUUUCAUUGAGGUCCUGUUAGUUGUUUUUUGCUAGUCAUAUUCCCCCCUCUCAGAACAACCGUCCUACAUGCUUUAUGUGCAAUACUGCUGAAAUUGGUUUCUGUGAGGUAGCUGCUAGUGAUGGAUAGAAACUGUUAAUGUGUGUGGGAGAGGAGAAAAAGAGCGAGUGUGAGAGGAUGCAGUCUGGAGGCUGGUCCUUCACUGGUCUUUGCUAGUCCCUCUGCAUCAGUUAGGUCCUGUUACAAAUUUAAAAUAAAAGCUUAUUUUGACAUUUUAAAAAGCAUCAAGGUUUUGUAAAUGAUCCUUUAUGUGAGAGGGGGAGACAACUAUGAAUAUACUUUGUACACACAUUUAAUCUUGUAAAAAAAAAAAGAGAAUACAUUUUUUUAAAUCUGAAAACAUACAAAAACUAUGGGUGUUUGUUUACCUGUGUGUAGUUCACAUAAUUGUUUUUUAACAACAGCAUCCAGUUUUAUCUGUGUUUUCUUUCAGAUUCUUUUCAAUAUUUUCUAGUUCAACAAUAA
Long non-coding RNA from Clupea harengus (Atlantic herring), 3370 nucleotides. The record is from Ensembl. NCBI's taxonomy places the organism in Eukaryota, Metazoa, Chordata, Actinopteri, Clupeiformes, Clupeidae.